AUCUUAAAGUUAUGACUGCUGAAAGAGAUCAAUUAAAGAUUAGUCUUAACUCAAGGACUAAAGAGAGAGACCAGUUGCAGAAUAGUCUAAAUACCAGGAUCACUGCGAGAGACCAGUUACAGACCAGGCUUAGGUUCUAUGAGGAACCCUGUCUGGAUGGAUGGUGGAAGUUUGGCACCAGCUGUUAUUAUGUCUCCUCCAGGAUGGAAACAGCUGGGGGCAGUCAGAGAAAGUGCAGAACAAUGUGUGCUGCCUUGGUUAUUAUAAACAGCAGAGAAGAACAGCUAUUGGAUGGAAGGGGAACCAAAUAACUUGAAUGACAAGGUGGCUUGUG
Non-coding RNA from Salmo salar (Atlantic salmon), 334 nucleotides. Lineage: Eukaryota; Metazoa; Chordata; Actinopteri; Salmoniformes; Salmonidae. The record is from RefSeq and is a predicted model, not a curated record.